UGACAGUGAUGAUGAUGAUGACAGUUGUCUUUUUUCCUGAAGUGUACAUGUGGGUUUUCAGUCACUACCUCAUCUGAACAGUCA
Non-coding RNA from Xyrichtys novacula (pearly razorfish), 84 nucleotides. Lineage: Eukaryota; Metazoa; Chordata; Actinopteri; Labriformes; Labridae. The record is from the annotation of a GenBank genome assembly.